RNAcentral lists this ribosomal RNA (439 nucleotides) under uncultured bacterium. RNAcentral describes it as "partial 16S ribosomal RNA". It matches the Rfam family "Bacterial small subunit ribosomal RNA", at positions 339 to 795 of the family's 1533-position model. The record is from RNAcentral.
CUACGGGUUGCUCCAGUGAGGAAUAUUGCACAAUGGGGGGAACCCUGAUGCAGCAACGCCGCGUGGAGGAUGACGCAUUUCGGUGUGUAAACUCCUUUUAUAUGUCAAGAAAAUGACGGUAGCAUAUGAAUAAGCACCGGCUAACUCCGUGCCAGCAGCCGCGGUAAUACGGAGGGUGCAAGCGUUACUCGGAAUCACUGGGCGUAAAGGACGCGUAGGCGGGUUGGAAAGUCAGGUGUGAAAUCCUACAGCGUAACUGUAGAGCUGCACUUGAAACUUCUAAUCUAGAGUAUGGGAGGGGGAGAUGGAAUUAGUGGUGUAGGGGUAAAAUCCGUAGAUAUCACUAGGAAUACCUAAAGCGAAGGCGAUCUCCUGGAACAUUACUGACGCUAAGGCGUGAAAGCGUGGGGAGCAAACAGGAUUAGAUACCCGCGUAGUC